CAGGAACACCAUGGUGAAGAGAAUAAAGGAUGGGUGUCGGAAGUGUGCUACAUUAAUGGCAGGAUUUUUGCUAACACCAGUGGAGCCUGCCUCUGUGACUGGAGUUUGUUACUGUUUAUAGUUACAUUC
Molecule: small nucleolar RNA, 129 nt
Filed under: Octodon degus (degu)
Lineage: Eukaryota; Metazoa; Chordata; Mammalia; Rodentia; Octodontidae
Source: RNAcentral